GUUGCGAUGGCCGAGUGGUAAGGAAACAUUGUCGUUCGAUCCGACAUUCACAUCGAAACUCUGCGCUUACAUGUAAACGUUCUGUCAGGUCUAAGGCGCAAGAUUAAGGCUCUUGUCUUCAUUGGCGGGGGUUCAAAUCCCCCUCGCAACA
This 151-nucleotide transfer RNA is filed under the name Fistulifera solaris. It matches the Rfam family "tRNA". Rfam says of the family: Transfer RNA (tRNA) molecules are approximately 80 nucleotides in length. Their secondary structure includes four short double-helical elements and three loops (D, anti-codon, and T loops). The record is from Rfam by way of RNAcentral. Lineage: Eukaryota; Bacillariophyta; Bacillariophyceae; Naviculales; Stauroneidaceae.